Molecule: long non-coding RNA, 2287 nt
Organism: Bos taurus (domestic cattle)
Lineage: Eukaryota; Metazoa; Chordata; Mammalia; Artiodactyla; Bovidae
Source: Ensembl
ACAUUGGAGAAGGGCAGGAAAAUAUUAUGGAAGAAAAGAUGAGAAACAGAAAAUAGCCUUGAAGGAACACAUUUUUUAAAGAAGAAGCUUCUGGGAGGCAUUUAUUCUAUAAUCUAUGCUCCUAGUUCUAUGAUUAUUUUAUCUAAAUUUUAAAAACUGAAAGUAGUUUCUCUUCUGUGCCCUGAAACUGAAUUGAAACUGGAUUCUCAAAAGUAAUAUAUGAUAACAUGCAUCACAUAUUACCCAGGGAUUGGUUGGAUUCCAGUUACCAACUCCAGUUUAACUUUGAAUGAGGUAUUUCACCUCUACCUCCCCAUCUAUAAAAAUGAGGAAUUGGCACCUGGUACUCACUGGAGUUUCUUUACCUUGGACUACAGGCCAUGGGGUUUCUUUUGACUUCUAAGAGUUUGUUUUCCAGUCUAUUGGAAAACAGUAACAAUGUUUAUGUUAAUGUUUUAUUUCUGGAUAAAAAAUAAACCAUGCAGAUGUUCCUGAGGUUUCCAUAUUGUGAAGACAAACUAGCCAAUUAGGCUUUUUCAUUUAGAAGUUACUAUGUUAAAAAUGCAGGAACAGGUAAGAACCAUCACAAAUCACCCCACAAAUCAGUAAUCUCUAGGAUCAAAGUGUUUGACUCUUGUGUUUUUACUCUGUGGCUUACCUCACUGGCCCCAGCCAGAUCAUGCUUCAAUCACUCAAGAGAGUCUUGUCAGAGAAUAAUUUUUAGUUUUAUGUCAUGUAAGCCAGGGAAAUUUUUAAGAAUGAAAGCAAUUCACUUCCAGAAAUACUGUUUGAAAUAGAUAAAAAAGCAAAAUUUCAUCAUGGUACUGAAAGUUUAUUAUUUUUGCUAAUAUUUAGGAAUAAGUGGAGAAUUUGUAUCUAGCUCAAAUGUGUUUGAUUUGAAAAACACAGUUUAAUGUUUAUUAUUGAGUGUAUUUUCCAAAGUGGCUACUGAAUAAUUAAAUGCCAAGAAAAUUAAGUUUUAAAAACAUUGUGCAAGUAGUGAUUUAUAAAGAGCCUCACUGAAGAUGGUCACUUCCUUUCCUUCUUUCUAUGCUUUCCUCCCAUUUUUCUCUUCUCCUUUUCCCAUUCAGCCGUGUCUUCCUGAAAAAGCCCCCAAACUGUAUAAAACUUGGCUUCUCUGUGAUGGGCAGGCUACAGGAAGAUGGUGGCCGUUUAAGGGAGAAGGUCGAGUAGCUCAGUCAUAUACAGGGAGUGAUAAGGGCUGACACCAGGUGAUGCAAUUGCUUUUCUUUAUAUUUCUUGCUUUCUUUUCUUCUCCUUUAAAAAAAAAAAAAAAACUUUGAUUAUCACUCCUUUCACUUGGGCUUAAUCAUUUAAAUCACUGUUUCUUGUUCCUCUUUUAAAUUUUCAAGACACCAGCCAAAAAGAAUGAAAGCAAGGAACGAAGAGUAAUUGUUUGACAGUUGGGGAAAAGAGAAUCCUUAGUCCUAAAGAACUGUGUUUUAAAAAAUGAAUAUGUAACAUAUGCCUAUACAAAUGCAUAUAUGAUACGCAUAUAGCUUGAUGAAUUUUCAUAAAUUGAAUAUAGCUGUUUAACCAAUACACAGAUCUAGGAACAGAACAUUAGCAGCAUUCCAGAAACCCUAAGUCCCAAGACCCCUUCUAGUCCUCACCUUCCUCUUCAAAGCUUGAAGAGCACUGGUCUAGAACAUCCCUGGAGAAUCCAAGAGAGUAUUAUAGACUAUGUAAAGAGAGGACAGGAGGAAGAAGCUCAUCUGUGGAUCUGGAGGCAGAUGAUGAAUUACAGUUUGAACCAAAGCUGGACUGGGGGAAAUUCAAGGGUGAAGAGCCAAUCAGCUCUACUGACGGGGGAAUGGUGGCACCUCUUGGUGAAAGAACAGAUUCCUUCCCUUGGCCAGCUAUGCAGCUCUCAGCUUUGUUCCUAGCACAGAGAAGGUACUCAGCUCAUAUCACUUGGAAAAAUGAAUACAUGAAAGAAUCUCCUUGGCUCAGAGGUUCAUACAAACUUCCUGUAAAGGCAGACGUCAGUCUCCAAUUUGGUCCAAAGCCAGCAAAUAAAACAUACAAAACAAAUACAACAGAGAAACAAUCAGGCCAAGAGGAAGGAAGAUGCAAACAUUAGCCCUGUCUUCUUUUUAGUCCUAAAUCUUCAGCUACUUCCAGAGAUACCUAUUUUAAUGAUGUUCAGUUCGGUCACUCAGUCAUGUCCAACUCUUUGCAACCCUAUGAACUGCAGCAUGCCAGGCUACCCUGUCCAUCACCAACUCCUGGAGUUCACUCAAACUCACAUCCAUUGAGUCGGUGA